RNAcentral lists this long non-coding RNA (1059 nucleotides) under Ovis aries (sheep). RNAcentral describes it as "lncRNA (ENSOARG00000026083.1)". The record is from RNAcentral. Lineage: Eukaryota; Metazoa; Chordata; Mammalia; Artiodactyla; Bovidae.
CCUCUGGCCUCACCUGCGAAGUUCUUGGUGAAGACCAGGGUGACCAGCAGGAUGGGGACGAGCACGGUGCCGAUGGUGACCACGCGGUCAAACGGCAGCUCCAGCUUGAGCUGCAGCAGCAGCGCGGCCAGCGCGCCCGCCUUGUCGUCCUGCGCGCCGGGCAGGAUCAGCUCGCGCAGCUUCUCCCCGGCCAGCAGCGCCGUCGCCAUGUCCGUGGACGGCUCCAGGAGGUGGUGCAUGGGGGGCGCGGAGGACCCGGGGCGCGGGGCCCGCGGGGGGGGGGGGGGGGGGGGGGGGGCCCGCCGCGCCCGCCNNNNNNNNNNNNNNCUCGCGGCGUAGAUCCGCCUCCCACCCCCCACCCCCGCACGCAGAUGCGGCGCCGGCGAUGACUUAGCAAAAAAUAUUUAAAUGAAAUAAAAUGAAUGAACAAUGACUGGUCCCUCCGCCUACUCAGGGUGGGAAAGAGGGAAAGGCCGAGCGGGUGGGGUGGUUCCCCUCUCCCGGCGCGCCGGGGCGGCGGCACGCGGGCGAAACGCGGGAAGACCUGCGGCGUCCCGGGCCCCCCUCUUCCAGCCCCGCGUCCGGGAGCCGCCCGACCGGCGGAGAGGGGUUCGCCGCCCGCCUCCCGGCGUCCCUCUCCGCUCCCUACCGAUGCCUGGCCGCCACAGUGGGCGCUUAGGCCCCCACCCACCCGGGGUGUUACGGACACAGAGGAGGGGGCUGGCACCCCUCCCAGCUCGGGGAGCGGGCAGGUGGACGCUACGGGCGUCUCCUCCCGGCCCCUCCACUGCAGCCGGCGUCCCCGGCGCCCACACCCCGACCCAUAGCCUGGGUGAGCGUCUCCUUUCCCCUCGCCACACCUCCACGUGGCCCCAAGGCCUCUCCAGCCCGGCACCUAUCACCCCACCACUCUAUCACCCCGUCCCUUUGCCACUGUCAAACGCAUUCUCCAGACCGGCCUCCUGGCACAGGCUCCGGGGUCCCUGCCACCUUCCUGACCUUCAUCCCCCUCCACUCGGACCCUGCGGUACCCACCCUCAGGAACCCACGCCAUUGUAA